AUGGAAAUCUCUGUAAUUUUUAGAUAGUAUAGGGGCGGAUGUAGCCAAGUGGAUCAAGGCAGUGGAUUUGUGAAUCCACCAUGCGC
Molecule: transfer RNA, 86 nt
Filed under: Calliandra sp. DS14513_JM1599
Lineage: Eukaryota; Viridiplantae; Streptophyta; Magnoliopsida; Fabales; Fabaceae
Description: partial tRNA-His
Source: RNAcentral